This 478-nucleotide ribosomal RNA is filed under the name uncultured bacterium. Its description in RNAcentral is "bacterial SSU rRNA". It matches the Rfam family "Bacterial small subunit ribosomal RNA", at positions 36 to 507 of the family's 1533-position model. The record is from RNAcentral.
CUGGCGGCAUGCCUAACACAUGCAAGUCGAACGGCAGCACGGGAGCUUGCUCCUGGUGGCGAGUGGCGGACGGGUGAGUAAUGCGCAGAAAUCUGCCCAGUAGUGGGGGACAACCUGGUGAAAACCAGGCUAAUACCGCAUACGCCCUACGGGGGAAAGCAGGGGAUCUUCGGACCUUGCGCUAUUGGAUGAGUCUGCGUCGGAUUAGCUUGUUGGUGAGGUAAUGGCUCACCAAGGCGACGAUCCGUAGCUGGUCUGAGAGGAUGAUCAGCCACACUGGGACUGAGACACGGCCCAGACUCCUACGGGAGGCAGCAGUGGGGAAUAUUGGACAAUGGGCGAAAGCCUGAUCCAGCCAUGCCGCGUGUGUGAAGAAGGCUCUAGGGUUGUAAAGCACUUUCAGUGGGGAAGAAAGCUUGUUAGCUAAUAACUGACGAGUGUGACAUUACCCACAGAAGAAGCACCGGCUAACUCCGUG